CACUCCUGCGGGAGGCAGCAGUGGGGAAUUUUGGACAAUGGGGGCAACCCUGAUCCAGCAAUGCCGCGUGAGUGAAGAAGGCCUUCGGGUUGUAAAGCUCUUUUGUCAGGGAAGAAACGGUGGUGGCGAAUAACUACUACUAAUGACGGUACCUGAAGAAUAAGCACCGGCUAACUACGUGCCAGCAGCCGCGGUAAUACGUAGGGUGCAAGCGUUAAUCGGAAUUACUGGGCGUAAAGCGUGCGCAGGCGGUUGUGUAAGUCAGAUGUGAAAUCCCCGGGCUCAACCUGGGAAUUGCAUUUGAGACUGCACGGCUAGAGUGUGUCAGAGGGGGGUAGAAUUCCACGUGUAGCAGUGAAAUGCGUAGAUAUGUGGAGGAAUACCGAUGGCGAAGGCAGCCCCCUGGGAUAACACUGACGCUCAUGCACGAAAGCGUGGGGAGCAAACAGGAUUAGAUACCCUAGUAGUCCC
This 471-nucleotide ribosomal RNA is filed under the name uncultured organism. RNAcentral describes it as "partial 16S ribosomal RNA". It matches the Rfam family "Bacterial small subunit ribosomal RNA", at positions 334 to 797 of the family's 1533-position model. The record is from RNAcentral.